RNAcentral lists this ribosomal RNA (424 nucleotides) under uncultured bacterium. Its description in RNAcentral is "bacterial SSU rRNA". It matches the Rfam family "Bacterial small subunit ribosomal RNA", at positions 355 to 776 of the family's 1533-position model. The record is from RNAcentral.
UAAGGAAUAUUGGGCAAUGGAGGCAACUCUGACCCAGCCAUCCCGCGUGAAGGAUGACGGCCCUAUGGGUUGUAAACUUCUUUUGUUUGGGAAGAAAUCAGGACAUUCAUGUGCUGUUGACGGUACCUUACGAAUAAGCACCGGCUAACUCCGUGCCAGCAGCCGCGGUAAUACGGAGGGUGCAAGCGUUAUCCGGAAUCACUGGGUUUAAAGGGUGCGUAGGCGGCUAAAUAAGUCAGAGGUGAAAGCUGGCAGCUCAACUGUCAAACUGCCUUUGAUACUGUUUGGCUUGAAUCAGGUUAAGGUAGGCAGAAUGUGGCAUGUAGCGGUGAAAUGCAUAGAUAUGCCAUAGAAUACCAAUUGCGAAGGCAGCUUGCUGGGCCUGAAUUGACGCUGAGGCACGAAAGCGUGGGGAUCAAACAGG